GUUGUCGGCCAUAUUUCUUUGAAUGCACCAGAUCCCAUCCGAACUCUGAAGUUAACUUAAGGAAAGGUCAGCUAGUACUGGCAUCGGAGACGAGCUGGAAACCACUGACUGCUGACAGCU
Molecule: ribosomal RNA, 120 nt
Filed under: Dendroctonus ponderosae (mountain pine beetle)
Lineage: Eukaryota; Metazoa; Arthropoda; Insecta; Coleoptera; Curculionidae
Source: RNAcentral